RNAcentral lists this unclassified non-coding RNA (143 nucleotides) under uncultured fungus. RNAcentral describes it as "sequence contains ITS1". Lineage: Eukaryota; Fungi. The record is from RNAcentral.
CAGAGUAUAACUCGCAACCCUGUGGACGACAGAACGUUGCCUGGGCGGUUAGGGGUUCCCUCACGGGUCCUCGGUGGCCGCCAGGCGUUAAACGACCGCCAGGCGUUAAACGAUCAACUGAAGUCUGAGUGAAACGAAGAUCA